This 251-nucleotide ribosomal RNA is filed under the name uncultured bacterium. RNAcentral describes it as "partial 16S ribosomal RNA". It matches the Rfam family "Bacterial small subunit ribosomal RNA", at positions 524 to 776 of the family's 1533-position model. The record is from RNAcentral.
UACGAAGGGGGCUAGCGUUGCUCGGAAUCACUGGGCGUAAAGCACACGUAGGCGGCUUUAAGACAGGGGUGAAAUCCUGGAGCUCAACUCCAGAACUGCCUUUGAUACUGGAGAGCUUGAGUCCGGGAGAGGUGAGUGGAACUCCGAGUGUAGAGGUGAAAUUCGUAGAUAUUCGGAAGAACACCAGUGGCGAAGGCGGCUCACUGGCCCGGUACUGACGCUGAUGUGCGAAAGCGUGGGGAGCAAACAGG